Molecule: unclassified non-coding RNA, 334 nt
Filed under: soil metagenome
Description: partial contains 5.8S ribosomal RNA, internal transcribed spacer 2, and large subunit ribosomal RNA
Rfam family: 5.8S ribosomal RNA (bases 1-120)
Source: RNAcentral
GAUGAAGAACGUAGCGAAAUGCGAUAAGUAAUGUGAAUUGCAGAAUUCAGUGAAUCAUCGAAUCUUUGAACGCACAUUGCGCCCGCCAGUAUUCUGGCGGGCAUGCCUGUUCGAGCGUCAUUUCAACCAUCAAGCCCCCGGCUCGUGUUGGGGACCUGCGGCUGCCGCAGGCCCUGAAAUGCAGUGGCGGGCUCGCUGUCACUCCGAGCGUAGUAGUUACAUCUCGCUCUGGGCGUGCUGCGGGUUCCGGCCGUUAAAAGCCUUAUUUACCCAAGGUUGACCUCGGAUCAGGUAGGAAGACCCGCUGAACUUAAGCAUAUCAAUAAGCGGAGGA